GAUGAAUGCUGGCGGCGUGCCUAAUACAUGCAAGUCGAGCGGUAACACUUCGGGUGACGAGCGGCGGACGGCAGAGUAACGCGUAGGAACGUACCCCAAACUGAGGGAUAACGCACCGAAAGGUGUGCUAAUACCGCAUGUGAUCUUCGGAUUAAAGCUUCGGCGGUUUGGGAACGGCCUGCGUAUGAUUAGCUUGUUGGUGAGGUAAUGGCUCACCAAGGCGACGAUCAUUAGCUGGUCUGAGAGGAUGAUCAGCCUGACUGGAACUGAGACAUGGUCCAGACUCCUACGGGAGGCAGCAGUAGGGAAUUUUCCACAAUGGGCGAAAGCCUGAUGGAGCAACGCCGCGUGCAGGAUGAAGGCCUUCGGGUUGUAAACUGCUUUUGUCUGUGAAGAUUAUGACGGUAGCAGACGAAUAAGGACCGGCUAACUACGUGCCAGCCGCCGCCGUAA
RNAcentral lists this ribosomal RNA (453 nucleotides) under uncultured bacterium. RNAcentral's name for it is "partial 16S ribosomal RNA". It matches the Rfam family "Bacterial small subunit ribosomal RNA", at positions 28 to 523 of the family's 1533-position model. The record is from RNAcentral.